This 202-nucleotide unclassified non-coding RNA is filed under the name uncultured Cortinarius. Its description in RNAcentral is "sequence contains ITS2". Lineage: Eukaryota; Fungi; Basidiomycota; Agaricomycetes; Agaricales; Cortinariaceae. The record is from RNAcentral.
AUAUAUCAACCUCCUCAGGUUUUGACUUGUCGAGUGUUUGGAUGUGGGGGUCUUUUGCUGGUCUCUUUUGAGGUCGGCUCCCCUAAAAUGCAUUAGCCGAACAAUUUGUUGACCCCGUUCAUUGGUGUGAUAAUUAUCUACGCUUUUGACGUGAAACAGGUUCAGCUUCUAACAGUCCAUUGACUUGGACAAUUUUUCAUUA